Molecule: ribosomal RNA, 448 nt
Filed under: uncultured bacterium
Lineage: Bacteria
Description: bacterial SSU rRNA
Rfam family: Bacterial small subunit ribosomal RNA
Source: RNAcentral
ACCAGACUCCUACGGGAGGCAGCAGUGGGGGAUAUUGCACAAUGGGGGGAACCCUGAUGCAGCGACGCCGCGUGGGUGAAGAAGCGCCUCGGCGCGUAAAGCCCUGUCAGCAGGGAAGAAAAUGACGGUACCUGAAGAAGAAGCCCCGGCUAACUACGUGUCAGCAGCCGCGGUAAUACGUAGGGGGCAAGCGUUAUCCGGAUUUACUGGGUGUAAAGGGGGCGCAGACGGCGAUGCAAGCCAGGAGUGAAAGCCCGGGGCCCAACCCCGGGACUGCUCUUGGAACUGCGUGGCUGGAGUGCAGGAGGGGCAGGCGGAAUUCCUGGUGUAGCGGUGAAAUGCGUAGAUAUCAGGAGGAACACCGGUGGCGAAGGCGGCCUGCUGGACUGCAACUGACGUUGAGGCCCGAAAGCGUGGGGAGCAAACAGGAUUAGAUACCCCCGUAAAA